GGGCGCGUAGCUCAGUGGGGGAGCGCUACCUUCACACGGUAGAGGCCGCAGGUUCGAAACCUGCCGCGCCCACCA
RNAcentral lists this transfer RNA (75 nucleotides) under Thermoanaerobacterales bacterium. Its description in RNAcentral is "tRNA-Val". It matches the Rfam family "tRNA". From Rfam's summary of the family: Transfer RNA (tRNA) molecules are approximately 80 nucleotides in length. Their secondary structure includes four short double-helical elements and three loops (D, anti-codon, and T loops). Lineage: Bacteria; Bacillati; Bacillota; Clostridia; Thermoanaerobacterales. The record is from RNAcentral.